UGAUCCUGGCUCAGGACGAACGCUGGCGGCGUGCCUAAUACAUGCAAGUCGAACGCUUCUUUUUCCACCGGAGCUUGCUCCACCGGAAAAAGAGGAGUGGCGAACGGGUGAGUAACACGUGGGUAACCUGCCCAUCAGAAGGGGAUAACACUUGGAAACAGGUGCUAAUACCGUAUAACAAUCGAAACCGCAUGGUUUUGAUUUGAAAGGCGCUUUCGGGUGUCGCUGAUGGAUGGACCCGCGGUGCAUUAGCUAGUUGGUGAGGUAACGGCUCACCAAGGCCACGAUGCAUAGCCGACCUGAGAGGGUGAUCGGCCACAUUGGGACUGAGACACGGCCCAAACUCCUACGGGAGGCAGCAGUAGGGAAUCUUCGGCAAUGGACGAAAGUCUGACCGAGCAACGCCGCGUGAGUGAAGAAGGUUUUCGGAUCGUAAAACUCUGUUGUUAGAGAAGAACAAGGAUGAGAGUAACUGUUCAUCCCUUGACGGUAUCUAACCAGAAAGCCACGGCUAACUACGUGCCAGCAGCCGCGGUAAUACGUAGGUGGCAAGCGUUGUCCGGAUUUAUUGGGCGUAAAGCGAGCGCAGGCGGUUUCUUAAGUCUGAUGUGAAAGCCCCCGGCUCAACCGGGGAGGGUCAUUGGAAACUGGGAGACUUGAGUGCAGAAGAGGAGAGUGGAAUUCCAUGUGUAGCGGUGAAAUGCGUAGAUAUAUGGAGGAACACCAGUGGCGAAGGCGGCUCUCUGGUCUGUAACUGACG
RNAcentral lists this ribosomal RNA (760 nucleotides) under Enterococcus faecium. RNAcentral describes it as "bacterial SSU rRNA". It matches the Rfam family "Bacterial small subunit ribosomal RNA", at positions 14 to 745 of the family's 1533-position model. The record is from RNAcentral. Lineage: Bacteria; Bacillati; Bacillota; Bacilli; Lactobacillales; Enterococcaceae.